GAUGAACGCUGGCGGCGUGCCUAAUACAUGCAAGUCGAGCGAACAGACCAGGAGUUUGCUCCUUUGUCGUUAGCGGCCCACGGGUGAGUAACACGUGGAUAACCUACCUAUAAGACGGGGAUCACCUCGGGAAACCGGAGCUAACACCGGAUAAUAUAUUGAUCCGCAUGGUUCAAUAGUGAAAGACGGUUUUGCUGUCACUUAUAGCUGGAUCCGCGCCGCAUUAGCUAGUUGGUAAGGUAACGGCUUACCAAGGCAACGAGGCGUAACCGACCUGAUAGGCGGAGCGGCGACAGUAGAACUGGGACACGGUCAAGACUCCUAAGAGAGGCAGCAGUAGAGCACCUUAGGCAAUGGGGGAGAACAUGGCACAAGGGCGCGACGUGAGAUAUUGCAAUGCUCGGGUCGUAAAAAUCGCUUAUUAGGGUGGAACAACUUUGGAAGUAAACGAACAGGUAUUGACGGUAACGAGUCAGGAAGCCACGGCUAACUACGUG
Molecule: ribosomal RNA, 497 nt
Filed under: uncultured bacterium
Lineage: Bacteria
Description: partial 16S ribosomal RNA
Rfam family: Bacterial small subunit ribosomal RNA
Source: RNAcentral